GACUCUCGGCAACGGAUAUCUCGGCUCUCGCAUCGAUGAAGAACGUAGCGAAAUGCGAUACCUGGUGUGAAUUGCAGAAUCCCGCGAACCAUCGAAUAUUUGAACACAAGUUGCGCCCGAGGCCACUCGGCCGAGGGCACGCCUGCGUGGGCGUCA
Molecule: non-coding RNA, 156 nt
Organism: Hordeum vulgare subsp. vulgare (domesticated barley)
Lineage: Eukaryota; Viridiplantae; Streptophyta; Magnoliopsida; Poales; Poaceae
Source: Rfam